Molecule: ribosomal RNA, 460 nt
Filed under: uncultured bacterium
Lineage: Bacteria
Description: partial 16S ribosomal RNA
Rfam family: Bacterial small subunit ribosomal RNA
Source: RNAcentral
CCUACGUGUGGCUGCAGUGAGGAAUAUUGGUCAAUGGACGAGAGUCUGAACCAGCCAAGUAGCGUGAAGGAUGACUGCCCUAUGGGUUGUAAACUUCUUUUGUCAGGGAAUAAAACGAGGCACGUGUGCCUUUUUGCAUAUUCUUUAUGAAUAAGGCUUGGCGUACUCCCUUCCAGCAGCCGCGGUUAUACGGAGGAUCCGAGCGUUUUCCCGAUUUAUUGGGUUUAAAGGGAGCGUAAAUGGGUAUUUAAGUCAGGUGGGAAAGUUUGCGGCUCAAACGUAAAAUUGCAAUUGAUACUGGCAGUCUUGAGUACAGUUGAGGUAGGCGGAAUUCGUGGUGUAGCGGUGAAAUGCUUAGAUAUCACGAAGAACCCCGAUUGCGAAGGCAGCUUACUAAAGUGUGACUGACAUUGAUGCUCGAAAGUGUGGGUAUCAAACAGGAUUAGAUACCCUAGUAGUC